UGGCUAAUCCUGGUCGGACAUCAGGAGGUUAGUGCAAUGGCAUAAGCCAGCUUGACUGCGAGCGUGACGGCGCGAGCAGGUGCGAAAGCAGGUCAUAGUGAUCCGGUGGUUCUGAAUGGAAGGGCCAUCGCUCAACGGAUAAAAGGUACUCCGGGGAUAACAGGCUGAUACCGCCCAAGAGUUCAUAUCGACGGCGGUGUUUGGCACCUCGAUGUCGGCUCAUCACAUCCUGGGGCUGAAGUAGGUCCCAAGGGUAUGGCUGUUCGCCAUUUAAAGUGGUACGCGAGCUGGGUUUAGAACGUCGUGAGACAGUUCGGUCCCUAUCUGCCGUGGGCGCUGGAGAAUUGAGGGGGGCUGCUCCUAGUACGAGAGGACCGGAGUGGACGCAUCACUGGUGUUCGGGUUGUCAUGCCAAUGGCACUGCCCGGUAGCUAAAUGCGGAAGAGAUAAGUGCUGAAAGCAUCUAAGCACGAAACUUGCCCCGAGAUGAGUUCUCCCUGAGACUUAAAGUCUCCUGAAGGAACGUUGAAGACGACGACGUUGAUAGGCCGGGUGUGUAAGCGCAGCGAUGCGUUGAGCUAACCGGUACUAAUGAACCGUGAGGCUUAACCUUAC
Molecule: ribosomal RNA, 615 nt
Filed under: Salmonella enterica
Lineage: Bacteria; Pseudomonadati; Pseudomonadota; Gammaproteobacteria; Enterobacterales; Enterobacteriaceae
Description: partial 23S ribosomal RNA
Rfam family: Bacterial large subunit ribosomal RNA
Source: RNAcentral